GUUUGAUCAUGGCUCAGAUUGAACGCUGGCGGCAUGCCUUACACAUGCAAGUCGAACGGUAACAGGUCUUCGGAUGCUGACGAGUGGCGAACGGGUGAGUAAUACAUCGGAACGUGCCCGAGAGUGGGGGAUAACGGAGCGAAAGCUUUGCUAAUACCGCAUACGAUCUACGGAUGAAAGCAGGGGACCGCAAGGCCUUGCGCUCAUGGAGCGGCCGAUGGCAGAUUAGGUAGUUGGUGGGAUAAAAGCUUACCAAGCCGACGAUCUGUAGCUGGUCUGAGAGGACGACCAGCCACACUGGGACUGAGACACGGCCCAGACUCCUACGGGAGGCAGCAGUGGGGAAUUUUGGACAAUGGGCGAAAGCCUGAUCCAGCCAUGCCGCGUGCAGGAUGAAGGCCUUCGGGUUGUAAACUGCUUUUGUACGGAACGAAAAGACUCUGGUUAAUACCUGNGGUCCAUGACGGUACCGUAAGAAUAAGCACCGGCUAACUACGUUCCAGCAGCCGCGGGUAAUACGU
RNAcentral lists this ribosomal RNA (521 nucleotides) under uncultured bacterium. Its description in RNAcentral is "bacterial SSU rRNA". It matches the Rfam family "Bacterial small subunit ribosomal RNA", at positions 11 to 528 of the family's 1533-position model. The record is from RNAcentral.